This 199-nucleotide long non-coding RNA is filed under the name Vigna radiata. RNAcentral describes it as "long non-coding RNA (VRAD_LNC010728)". Lineage: Eukaryota; Viridiplantae; Streptophyta; Magnoliopsida; Fabales; Fabaceae. The record is from RNAcentral.
CUGAAUCAAAUCAUAUGCUACAUAUACUUUGUUGCUGGGCUCAAAUAUGGACAUCACACAAUAGGCAAAUAAGAACUAGUACUGUUUAAUCUCUCAGUUAUAGUGAUGGGUUGUGUCCUUUCUGAAGCUUUUAAACAUUAAUUCUCAGUUUUAACAGGGCGUGUAUGGAAUCUGAGAUUGACAAAGACAGUGAUAGAUU